Molecule: non-coding RNA, 2020 nt
Organism: Odocoileus virginianus texanus
Lineage: Eukaryota; Metazoa; Chordata; Mammalia; Artiodactyla; Cervidae
Source: RefSeq, a predicted model, not a curated record
CCGCGAGAACUCCUUCAACAAUCUGCGGCCCGGCCAAAAAACCUGACAGCAGCGGUGAUCAGGUUCCCCUUGGCCAAUUCUUGGCCCUGUAACGCCGAAGAAGAUCCAUUGUUUUCUGUUUCCUGCCGCUCUCCACAGCCUUGUUCCGUGGUCUAGCCCUAGAGGCCUCCAUCCUCCCUUUAGAGGUGUCGGGGCUUAGCCCCAGCCUCCAUCUUCGUCUCUCAGGAUGGCGAGCAGCAGCGGCUCCAAGGCCGAAUUCAUUGUCGGAGGGAAAUAUAAACUGGUACGGAAGAUCGGGUCUGGCUCCUUCGGGGACAUUUAUUUGGCGAUCAAUAUCACCAACGGCGAGGAGGUGGCAGUGACGCUAGAAUCCCAGAAGGCCAGGCAUCCCCAGUUGCUGUACAAGAGCAAACUAUAAGAUUCUUCAAGGUGGGGUUGGCAUCCCCCACAUACGGUGGUAUGGUCAGGAAAAAGACUAUAACGUGCUAGUUAUGGAUCUUCUUGGACCCAGCCUUGAAGACCUCUUCAAUUUCUGUUCAAGAAGGUUCACAAUGAAAACUGUACUUAUGUUAGCCGACCAGAUGAUCAGUAGAAUCGAAUAUGUGCAUACAAAGAAUUUUAUACACAGAGACAUUAAACCAGAAAACUUCCUAAUGGGUAUUGGGCGUCACUGUAAUAAGUUAUUCCUUAUUGAUUUUGGUUUGGUCAAAAAGUACAGAGACAACAGGACCAGGCAACACAUACCGUACAGAGAAGAUAAGAACCUCACCGGCACCGCUCGUUACGCCAGCAUCAAUGCACAUCUUGGUAUUGAGCAGAGUCGCCGAGAUGAUGUGGAAUCAUUAGGAUAUGUUUUGAUGUAUUUUAAUAGAACCAGCCUGCCAUGGCAAGGAUUAAAGGCUGCAACAAAGAAACAAAAACAUGAAAAAAUUAGUGAAAAGAAGAUGGCCACACCUGUUGAAGUUUUAUGUAAGGGAUUUCCUGCAGAAUUUGCCAUGUACUUAAACUAUUGUCGUGGGCUGCGCUCUGAGGAAGCCCCGGAUUACAUGUACCUGAGGCAGCUAUUCCGCAUUCUUUUCAGGACCCUGAAUCACCAAUAUGACUACACAUUUGAUUGGACAAUGUUAAAGCAGAAAGCAGCACAGAAGGCAGCCUCUUCAAGUGGGCAGGGUCAGCAGGCCCAAACCCCUACAGGCAAGCAAACUGACAAAACCAAGAGUAACAUGAAAGGUUUCUAAGCAUGAAUCAAGGAACAGAAGAAGCAGAGCAGAUGAUCGGAGCAGCAUUUGUUUCUCCCCAAAUCUAGACAUUUUAGUUCAUGUGUACACUAGCCAGUGGUUGUGGACAACCAUUUACUUGGUGUAAAGAACUUAAUUUCAGUAUAAACUGGCUCUGGGCAGCAUUGGUGAUGGAUGCUGUGUCCUGAGUUGUAGCCGCUGUAAUUGUGAAUAUUAACUGAGAUAGUGAAACAUGGUGUCAGUUUUCUAUUGCAUUUUUUCAAGUGGAAAAGUUCACUAAAUGGUUGACACACACAAAUUGGUGGAGAAAUUGUGCAUAUGCCAAUUUUUUGUUAAAAUCUUUUAUUUUGAACUAUACUGCUUUGAGAUCUCAUUUCGGAAGAACGGCAUGAACAGUCUUCAGCCACAGUUGUGAUGGUUGUAAAUGCUCACAAUUGUGCAUUCUUAGGGUUUAUCCAUCCCUGGGGUUUGCAAGUUGUUCACUUAAAACAUUCUUAAAAUGGUUGGCUUCUUGUCUGCAAGCCAGCUGAUAUGGUAGCAACCAAAGAUUCCAGUGUUUGAGCAUAUGGACUCUGCCUGCUUACCUGUGCUAGAGAAACAGUGUCUAAGUGAAGACUUAAGAAAACUUAGUGAGUACUAGAUUAUCCUUAGGACUCUGCAUUAACUCUAUAAUGUUCUUGGUAUUUAAAAAAGCGCAUAUUUGUCACAGAAAUUUAGUUAACAUCUUACAACUGAACAUGUAUGUAUGUUGCUUAGAUAAAUGUAAUCACUGUAAACAUCUA